CCGGCGACCGGCGCACGGGUGAGUAACACGUAUGGAACCUGCCCUAUGCAGGGGGAUAAGCGGAAGAAAUUCCGUCUAAUACCGCAUAACACCUUUAGGAGACAUCUUCUUGGGGUCAAAGGAGGCGACUCCGGCUACGGAUGGUCAUGCGUCGCAUUAGCUAGUUGGCGGGGUAACGGCCCACCAAGGCGACGAUGCGUAGGGGUUCUGAGAGGAAGGUCCCCCACACUGGUACUGAGACACGGACCAGACUCCUACGGGAGGCAGCAG
RNAcentral lists this ribosomal RNA (270 nucleotides) under uncultured bacterium. Its description in RNAcentral is "partial 16S ribosomal RNA". It matches the Rfam family "Bacterial small subunit ribosomal RNA", at positions 88 to 354 of the family's 1533-position model. The record is from RNAcentral.